Molecule: unclassified non-coding RNA, 376 nt
Filed under: soil metagenome
Description: partial contains 5.8S ribosomal RNA, internal transcribed spacer 2, and large subunit ribosomal RNA
Rfam family: 5.8S ribosomal RNA (bases 1-120)
Source: RNAcentral
GAUGAAGAACGCAGCGAAAUGCGAUAAGUAAUGUGAAUUGCAGAAUUCAGUGAAUCAUCGAAUCUUUGAACGCAUCUUGCGCUCCUUGGUAUUCUGAGGAGCAUGCCUGUUUGAGUGUCAUUAAAUUCUCAACUACACUGACUUUGAAUUGGUGUGGCUUGGAUUUGGGGGGAAAAUUGUUGUGGGCUUUUUGUAUAGUCUGCUCCCCUGAAAUUGAUUAGCGGUACCUUUGUGGAACUGUCUACAGGUGUGAUAAUUAUCUACAUCUUAGUCAUCUGCUGGAAUGCUGCUUUCUAAACCUUACUUGUAUUGACAAUCUUGACCUCAAAUCAGGUAGGACUACCCGCUGAACUUAAGCAUAUCAAUAAGCGGAGGA